Molecule: long non-coding RNA, 1028 nt
Filed under: Canis lupus dingo (dingo)
Lineage: Eukaryota; Metazoa; Chordata; Mammalia; Carnivora; Canidae
Description: lncRNA (ENSCAFG00020023704.1)
Source: RNAcentral
UACCAUGAGCCAAGGGAGGGAGGUGACUGGUGAGAGGCAAACAGUGAUUUGCAAGCAGAGUGGGAGAGAGACAGGUACUCCCUGCAUCCCCUCUCCCUGCCUGCUGGUCUAAUGAGAUCACUCUGUGUCCCUGUCUAGGAUUAUGGGAGCCCCAGCCAGUUCUGGGAGCAGGAGCUGGAAAGCUUACACUUUGUUAUCGAGAUGAAGAACGAGCGUAUUCACGAGCUGGACAAGCGGCUGAUCCUCAUGGAAACAGUGAAAGAGAAAAAUCUGAUGUUAGAGGAAAAAAUCACCACCUUGCAGCAGGAGAACGAGGACCUCCAUGUCCGGGGCCGCAACCAGAUGAUUAUGUCAAGGUAGCUGUUGCCCUGCCUCCUUUCCUCCCAUCACCACCAUUUGGUCAAAAUCUCCAGUUGGGAAGGUCUCAGAGAACCUAGGGAAUGGAUUGACAUGGGGCGGGGGGAGGGCAGGGGUGAAGGGCAAGCCUUUCUGGGGAAUGUGGCCCCUCUUUCCUUGGGAGUCAGGAAUCCCAAUGGACCAGCUCUACCCAGAAACCUAAGUCUCUGUGCCCGGAUUGGUAUCUGUCCCCAUCCUGGCUAAGCAGGCUCCAUGGCAAAGCCCAAUACAGGAAGAGGACACAGGAAAUUUCUAGCUGGGAUGGCCUAAUGAACGAAUGAAUGCACAUGAAUGAAUGAACCCAUUCUGAAGGCUUAGUAAAUGAGGGCUAGUAUCGUGUGUCAGACAUAAUUCAUUGAAUUCUUUACAUAUUAUCUCACCUGAUCCUCAUUACUCUACGAGCUGGUCCUCCUCCUAUUGUCCCUCCCAUUUUACAAAAUGAGGAAACUGAAAUUUGGCAAGACUAAAUAACUCGUUCCAGGUUGCAUAGCUAAGUGGUGGGGUACAGCUGAACCCGGAGCUGUGGCCCCUGAGGGCCACGUUCCUCUGGCAACGGAUCAAAUGGCCUCCUGCAAACAAGAGGGCCCAGGAGCCCAGGAGGGCGGCCCACCUGAGGAAGGCCUCCUAGAGGA